RNAcentral lists this ribosomal RNA (254 nucleotides) under uncultured bacterium. Its description in RNAcentral is "partial 16S ribosomal RNA". It matches the Rfam family "Bacterial small subunit ribosomal RNA", at positions 524 to 776 of the family's 1533-position model. The record is from RNAcentral.
AACGUAGGAGGCAAGCGUUAUCCGGAUUUACUGGGCGUAAAGCGUGUGCAGGCGGUUGGUUAAGUCGUGCGUGAAAGCUCCCAGGCUCAACCGGGAGAGGCCGUGCGAUACUGGUUAACUAGAGACAGACAGAGGGCCGUGGAAUUCCGGGUGGAGUGGUGAAAUGCGUAGAGAUCCGGAGGAACUCCAGAGGCGAAGGCGGCGGCCUGGGUCUGGUCUGACGCUCAGACACGAAAGCAUGGGGAGCGAACGGG